This 460-nucleotide ribosomal RNA is filed under the name uncultured bacterium. RNAcentral's name for it is "partial 16S ribosomal RNA". It matches the Rfam family "Bacterial small subunit ribosomal RNA", at positions 338 to 795 of the family's 1533-position model. The record is from RNAcentral.
CCUACGGGUGGCAGCAGUGAGGAAUAUUGGUCAAUGGGCGGAAGCCUGAACCAGCCAAGUCGCGUGAGGGAAUAAGGCCCUACGGGUCGUAAACCUCUUUUGCCGGGGAGCAAGGGCCGGGACGAGUCCCGGUCCGGAGAGUACCCGGAGAAAAAGCAUCGGCAAACACCGUGCCAGCAGCCUCGGUAAUACGGAGGUUGGAAGGUUUAUCCGGAUUGUUUGGGUUUAAGGGGUGCGUAGGGGGGCUUUAAAGGCAGCGGUAAAAAUUCGGGGCUAAACCCCGACCUGCCGUUGAAACUGGGGGCCUUGAGUGGGCGAGAGGAAGGCGGAAUGCGUGGUGUAGCGGUGAAAUGCAUAGAUAUCACGCAGAACCCCGAUUGCGAAGGCAGCCUUCCGACGCCCUACUGACGCUGAGGCACGAAAGUGCGGGGAUCGAACAGGAUUAGAUACCCUAGUAGUC